CUUGACAUCCCUGGAAUCCCUUGGAAACAGGGGAGUUGCCCUUCGGGGAGCCAGGAGACAGGUGCUGCAUGGCUGUCGUCAGCUCGUGUCGUGAGAUGUUGGGUUAAGUCCCGCAACGAGCGCAACCCUUGUCACUAGUUGCCAUCAUUUAGUUGGGCACUCUAGUGAGACUGCCGGUGACAAACCGGAGGAAGGUGGGGAUGACGUCAAGUCCUCAUGGCCCUUAUGGGUAGGGCUUCACACGUCAUACAAUGGUCGGUACAGAGGGUUGCCAAGCCGCGAGGUGGAGCCAAUCCCUUAAAGCCGAUCGUAGUCCGGAUCGUAGUCUGCAACUCGACUACGUGAAGUCGGAAUCGCUAGCAAUCGCAGAUCAGCAUGCUGCGGUGAAUACGUUCCCGGGUCUU
Molecule: ribosomal RNA, 404 nt
Filed under: uncultured Thauera sp.
Lineage: Bacteria; Pseudomonadati; Pseudomonadota; Betaproteobacteria; Rhodocyclales; Zoogloeaceae
Description: bacterial SSU rRNA
Rfam family: Bacterial small subunit ribosomal RNA
Source: RNAcentral